This is a non-coding RNA of Vicugna pacos (alpaca), 887 nucleotides long. NCBI's taxonomy places the organism in Eukaryota, Metazoa, Chordata, Mammalia, Artiodactyla, Camelidae. The record is from RefSeq and is a predicted model, not a curated record.
CUGGAGAACUGGAGGAUAAGCUCCUAUCUCUCUGGAGGCCUAACAUGGGGGCGGCUUCUGCUGCCUCUCGUUCCCAGGUCACCCUUCUCCGGGUCAUAUUGCCCCGGGGGUGCGGUAGGGUGCGGGGGCGGCGGGGUGUUGGCGGGGGUAUGGAGCCUGUUGCUUGGGAGCUGGUGGUUUAGCUCCCAUCUCUUCCGCAGCUUGGCCUGGGGGCAGCCUCUGUUGCCCCAGGUCGCAAAGCACAGUUUCCCUGACAGCUUAGCCACCGGAGGUGGGCAGGAUGUGCUGAGGGGUCGGAGGCAGCUGCCAAGGCAGCGACGAAGGGGGCUGUCCCUGGCCAGCUGGUCAAUUUGUUCCCAUCUCAACCUUUGCUCCCCCAGUUUCGCAGAACGCCCUUCUCCAGUUUAUCCUUCUCCUGGGAGGUGACAUUUUAGGUUAUUGGGUCACAGAUUGCUGGCACACUCAUCCCUAUUCUCAAACAUCUUUUAAACUUGGGUGAAGUGAUAAGUAGGAGAAGAUGAUUUACUGAAAGAGUCUCCCGAGAACAGAUUCAGACUGAACAGCUUUGUGUCAGACUUUGGAAGACCGCUGCUGCCCAAGGUGUUCUCUGGCAGGGCAAUGACAAAUCCAGGUCCCUCUUUCACUGCUACAUCAAUGAAGUGGACCACUUGGACAAGGCCAAAGCUGGUAUUCCAACCAUAGCCCUUUACAGUGAUAUUCGGCUCCAGGAAGCCGUCAGAUGCAGCAGGUGGCCAGAGGAGGAGCCGAACAGGCUCAUGAAAUGUGACAUCCCCAACUUCAUCAACACGGACCAGAACUCUUCCUUUGGGGAUGAUGAUCUCCUGAUUUUGGAACCGCCGAUUGUUCUAGAAAAUAAGCCAGUUGCC